AUUUGUCUGGUUAAUUCCGAUAACGAACGAGACCUUAACCUGCUAACUAGAUUCUUUAGUAUUACUUUUGAUAUCUUCUUAGAGGGACUAUGUAAAACAAAUACAUGGAAGUUUGAGGCAAUAACAGGUCAGUGAUGCCCUUAUAUGUCCUGGGCUGCACGCGUGCUACACUGAUGCAUACAACAAGUGCCUAACCAGACAUGGUAUGGCAAUCUCGAAUAUGCAUCGUGAUGGGGAUAGAUCUUUGCAAUUAUAGAUCUUGAACGAGGAAUUCCUAGUAAGUGCAAGUCAUCAUCUUGCAUUGAUUAUGUCCCUGCCCUUUGUACACACCGCCCGUCGCUCCUACCGAUACCGGGUGAUCCGGUGAACCUUUUGGACUCUUUACUGGGAAAGAUAAGUAAACCAUAUCACCUAGAGGAAGGAGAAGUCGUAACAAGGUUUUCGUAGGUGAACCUGCRGAAGGAUCA
Molecule: ribosomal RNA, 467 nt
Filed under: uncultured ciliate
Lineage: Eukaryota; Ciliophora
Description: SSU rRNA
Rfam family: Eukaryotic small subunit ribosomal RNA
Source: RNAcentral